RNAcentral lists this transfer RNA (83 nucleotides) under Firmicutes bacterium HGW-Firmicutes-1. RNAcentral's name for it is "tRNA-Leu". It matches the Rfam family "tRNA". From Rfam's summary of the family: Transfer RNA (tRNA) molecules are approximately 80 nucleotides in length. Their secondary structure includes four short double-helical elements and three loops (D, anti-codon, and T loops). The record is from RNAcentral. Lineage: Bacteria; Bacillati; Bacillota. RNAcentral also lists the same sequence under 1 other name.
GCGGGUGUGGCGGAAUUGGCAGACGCACUAGACUUAGGAUCUAGCGGGCGACCGUGCAGGUUCAACUCCUGUCACCCGCAUCA